Molecule: ribosomal RNA, 266 nt
Filed under: uncultured bacterium
Lineage: Bacteria
Description: partial 16S ribosomal RNA
Rfam family: Bacterial small subunit ribosomal RNA
Source: RNAcentral
GCAAGUCGAACGAGAAAGGGAUUGCUUGCAAUCCUGAGUAGAGUGGCGCACGGGUGAGUAACACGUAGAUAAUCUACCUUCAAGCCUGGAAUAACUAUUCGAAAGGAUAGCUAAUACCGGAUGAAGUUGUUCAGCAUAAGCUGAAUCAUGAAAGAUUGCCUCUUCUUGAAAGCAAUUGUUUGGAGAUGAGUUUGCGGACCAUUAGUUAGUUGGUGGGGUAAAGGCCUACCAAGGCAACGAUGGUUAGCGGGUCUGAGAGGAUGAUC